GGCGGAGGGGGCUAGCGUUGUUCGGAAUUACUGGGCGUAAAGAGCGCGUAGGCGGAUUAGUAAGUUGGAAGUGAAAGCCCGGGGCUUAACCUCGGAAUAGCUUUCAAAACUACUAGUCUUGAGUGUAGUAGGGGAUGAUGGAAUUCCUAGUGUAGAGGUGAAAUUCUUAGAUAUUAGGAGGAACACCGGUGGCGAAGGCGGUCAUCUGGGCUACAACUGACGCUGAGGCGCGAAAGCGUGGGGAGCAAACAGG
This 253-nucleotide ribosomal RNA is filed under the name uncultured bacterium. RNAcentral's name for it is "partial 16S ribosomal RNA". It matches the Rfam family "Bacterial small subunit ribosomal RNA", at positions 524 to 776 of the family's 1533-position model. The record is from RNAcentral.